CCUACGGGAGGCAGCAGUGGGGAAUCUUGCGCAAUGGGCGAAAGCCUGACGCAGCAACGCCGCGUGGGGGAUGAAGGCCCUCGGGUUGUAAACCCCUUUCAGCAGGGACGAAAUUGACGGUACCUGCAGAAGAAGCCCCGGCCAACUACGUGCCAGCAGCCGCGGUAAUACGUAGGGGGCGAGCGUUGUCCGGAUUCAUUGGGCGUAAAGAGCUCGUAGGCGGCUUGGCAAGUCAGGUGUGAAAUCUCUGGGCUCAACUCAGAGAGGCCACCUGAUACUGCUAUGGCUAGAGUCCGGUAGAGGAGAACGGAAUUCCCGGUGUAGCGGUGGAAUGCGCAGAUAUCGGGAGGAACACCUGUAGCGAAGGCGGUUCUCUGGGCCGGUACUGACGCUGAGGAGCGAAAGCGUGGGGAGCAAACAGGAUUAGAUACCCUUGUAGU
This 440-nucleotide ribosomal RNA is filed under the name uncultured bacterium. Its description in RNAcentral is "bacterial SSU rRNA". It matches the Rfam family "Bacterial small subunit ribosomal RNA", at positions 338 to 794 of the family's 1533-position model. The record is from RNAcentral.